GAGUGGGUUACAUAAAUGGAAGAGGAGAACUCAAUUAGGGGAGAGACUCAGAAGAGAAGAAUAAGAAGCAUUGUGUUCAUGUGGGAAAAGUCUGGUGAAGGAAUGGAGAGAGGUGACUUGGCCAGAAGGCUGGGCUGUGGAAGGCAUAGCUAGAGGUAGACUGUCUCGGGCUCAGAGAAGAGGUCAACACAGGGUGUCCUGGAUGAAGCUUCCUGUGAUGCUAUGCUUGUAUGUUGGGGGUGCUACCAUAAUAGUCAUUAAGAAAACACUUUCUCUGGUGCCCUGAGGUUCCUCUGUAUGGAAAAGCAGUUAUACUCAGAGGGCUGCUGAUCAGGCUUGCUUUGGAAGACUGUGUGGUUCCAGAGGAGAUGCUGUGAGUGAGAGGACCUUCCCAGGUGUAAACCUCAGGCACUGGGACAUGGAGAGGACUGCUAAGAGCUGUAAAUUGGUAAGAGAUCCUAGGAAGACAGAAGCACAAGGAAGCUGUUUAUUGGCAAAGGGCAAUGAUGUCUUACCUGAGGUUUUUGCAAAAAGACAGUUGCCUGUAUGCAGUUUACUAUCUCUGUGGAACCCCUAGAGAAGGAGGUUAAUGCAAACUCUCCAGCUCCAUUUAAGCCCCCCCAAAAAAACCUUGUGACAAGAUCCCCAGAGGAGAGGGUCAUUGUUUGCUUACUAUCUGUUAGAGAAGGUGAAGGUAAAAAAUCUGAGCUAUGUAAAGAAUUGUCUGACCUGCCCAGCAUUUGUGGUUCUGGAUCUAAGACUGAUGAACUUGUGACCAUGGGGAAAACCCAGUUGAGGCUUUUGAAGGACUAAAACUACCAAAGCCCUAGGUUGGAGUUGGGAGUUGAUGUCUGGUAAGCUUUUAAGCAUACAUGUAGGUUAUUUUGUUUUUCCUUUUCCUUCUCUUCUCUCAUCUUCCCCCCACGUAAUGCUUUUUUACCUUUUAGAAUAGAUGUACAUCCUUUGAAGGAGUUGUGUUGUAACUUCUAACUGUGGGCAAUACACUGGUCACAGACCUUGGAGAGCUAGCAAAGCACAGGUGCUGGCCUUUUAGACAAUCUCAUUCGCUGGGGAUAUUAUAGUAUAAGGCACAGAGCGGUGCAGCUUUAAAAUCCUUAGUCAGGAGGAAGUGAGAUGCAGGUCUCUGCCCAAGAGAUGUGCCAGCUGGGAGUCACUCCUAAAGUUGGAGCACUGGGUGGACCACAGAUGUGGAAUACAGGUUCAGUUACCUUGAAACUGUGAAGUUGACAGUCACUUUGCUCAGAAUCUUGGAUAUUGACUGAAAGUUUAUUUUCAGAGGAAAAUUCUCUGAAGGCAUUAACGUUUUAUAGGACCUAUUUCAGUCUAAGACCAUUCAGAGAAACAAAUGUUCAUUUUUAAAUGACUUCUAUGCUCCCAGAGUAUAAAUAUUAAAAGCAUUAAUCCUGAUGGAUGGUCCCAUAAACUUGAGAAUGCAGGCUCAAAACACAUUCCUUGUUUUCCUUUCUCUGUUUAGUCUAAUUUGCAUUCAAUAGACUAUAAACCCUCUCUAUUUAGUUGUCCUCUUAUUCAUGUCUUGCUGUUAUUUUUAACUCUUAAGUGUCAGCAGCUCUGGCUUGAAAAGUUGUCACCUGUAUUCCCUUUCAUUGUUAGGAGCCAACUUCACAUUUGGUUGGCUUAUUUAUCUAAUGUCAUGUAGGGUUCUUCACUGAAAUAUAUAAAUCAUCCUAACUGAUUUGUGCUUUGUCACCCUCUGAACUUGAGCCUGAUUUUAUUAAUCCAUAAGUGAAAAUAUAAAGUAGGAAUUGAUAAGAAAUAAUUGAGCUGAAUAGUCUUUAAUAGGCAUAGUUUUCUUCAGAAAACUUGCUAACUGACAGUAAAAUGGGGAAGAAGCUUUUGAAAUUGUCAUUCAAAAGUCAUAUUCCAAUAUCAUACAAUAAAUUCUAUUUAAUCCAUAUUAUAAUGUAAAAUAUUAAAAGUAGGCCCCCUACCCUAUAGAUUUUUUUUUACAGAUAAAAGCCUAUAUUUUCUAUUAUGUGCUAUAGUUAAAGAAAACACAUGACUCUCCUGUUCAUGGUGGUGUUUCUGCCUAAAACACUAUCCUUGAGAAAUGUUAUGCUGUGUACAGACCAUACACCCUCUUUUUAAACCACUGAAUCAUACAAGCAAGAUGUUUCCAAUUGUUCAGAGCUAAUGAAGACUUCUGUUUAAAAAUGGAAUGAUGGAAUGACUUUUCAUGUUGUCGUUGCAGACAUCAUUCAGAGAACACUUGUGUGUGUGUUUAUAGUUAGGAAGCACAAUGAAAAUGCUAAGAAGUUCUUGGGUUCAAAAAGAAAAUGGUACUACAAAAAACCUUUGGAAUUACUUUCAAUUUUACUAAAAUUUUAAGCAUCUUAGAUCUUGUAUAUUUAAUGCUCAUUGUACAGCAGCAUGAAACUGCUUGCAGUACUGUGUAAUGUUAAAGUAAGAAAGCAAAAAGCUGUAUGUC
Mauremys reevesii (Reeves's turtle) is the source of this 2467-nucleotide long non-coding RNA. RefSeq lists it as uncharacterized. NCBI's taxonomy places the organism in Eukaryota, Metazoa, Chordata, Testudines, Geoemydidae. The record is from RefSeq and is a predicted model, not a curated record. The transcript is spliced from 3 exons.